GACGAACGCUGGCGGCGUGCCUAAUACAUGCAAGUCGAACGCAGUGGGGACGGGUGAGUAACACGUGGGUAACCUCCCAUCAGAGGGGAUAACACUUGGUAACAGGUGCUAAACCGUUACUGGUGGCUGGACCCGCGGUGCAUUAGCUAGUGGGUGAGGGAACGGCUCACCAAGGCCACGAUGCAUAGCCGAGUUGAGAGGGGGAUCGGCCACACUGGGACUGAGACACGGCCCAGACUCCUACGGGAGGCAGCAGUAGGGAAUCUGCGGCAAUGGACGAAAGUCUGACCGAGAAACGCCGCGUGAGUGAAGAAGGUUUUCGGAUCGUAAAACUCUGUUGUUAGAGAAGCGGUAUCUAACCAGAAAGCCACGGCUAACUACGGGCCAGCCGCCGCGGUAAUUC
RNAcentral lists this ribosomal RNA (403 nucleotides) under uncultured bacterium. RNAcentral's name for it is "partial 16S ribosomal RNA". It matches the Rfam family "Bacterial small subunit ribosomal RNA", at positions 28 to 526 of the family's 1533-position model. The record is from RNAcentral.